CCUCCAUUCUUGGCAUGCACACAGUCUCCCUGUUCACCUGUACUGUAUGUUAUGGAGGGGUGACAGGUCCAGUGUCUUCGCUGCCAGAAUGUUCUCUGUCUUCUGGUUCUAUCCUCAGUGGCUGGUUCAUUG
Molecule: small nucleolar RNA, 132 nt
Organism: Coregonus clupeaformis (lake whitefish)
Lineage: Eukaryota; Metazoa; Chordata; Actinopteri; Salmoniformes; Salmonidae
Product: small nucleolar RNA SNORA57
Exons: 1
Source: RefSeq, a predicted model, not a curated record